UCACUACAAACACUGCGACUGCGUGGUCAAUCACUUUUAUGCCAUUUUUCAAUCACUGAAAUCUUACUGACA
This 72-nucleotide unclassified non-coding RNA is filed under the name soil metagenome. RNAcentral's name for it is "partial internal transcribed spacer 1". The record is from RNAcentral.